GGGCAACAAGACAUAAUCACUUAUUCCUUUUUCAACCUCAGCACCAUCAACAUUUAUUCGCAAUCAAGGUAGUGCAUUCUGCUAUACUUGUACAAAGGCAAGUCCUAACUUUUCUAAUCAAGUUAACUGUAAAGGAACCAGGUCCGC
Long non-coding RNA from Amphimedon queenslandica, 147 nucleotides. RefSeq lists it as uncharacterized. Lineage: Eukaryota; Metazoa; Porifera; Demospongiae; Haplosclerida; Niphatidae. The record is from RefSeq and is a predicted model, not a curated record. The transcript has 4 exons.